AGUGAACGCUGGCGGUAGGCCUAACACAUGCAAGUCGAACGGCAGCACAGUAAGAGCUUGCUCUUACGGGUGGCGAGUGGCGGACGGGUGAGGAAUACAUCGGAAUCUACUUUUUCGUAGGGGAUAACGUAGGGAAACUUACGCUAAUACCGCAUACGACCUACGGGUGAAAGCAGGGGAUCUUCGGACCUUGCGCGAUUGAAUGAGCCGAUGUCGGAUUAGCUAGUUGGCGGGGUAAAGGCCCACCAAGGCGACGAUCCGUAGCUGGUCUGAGAGGAUGAUCAGCCACACUGGAACUGAGACACGGUCCAGACUCCUACGGGAGGCAGCAGUGGGGAAUAUUGGACAAUGGGCGCAAGCCUGAUCCAGCCAUACCGCGUGGGUGAAGAAGGCCUUCGGGUUGUAAAGCCCUUUUGUUGGGAAAGAAAAGCAGCAGGUUAAUACGCCGCUGUUCUGACGGUACCCAAAGAAUAAGCACCGGCUAACUUCGUG
RNAcentral lists this ribosomal RNA (492 nucleotides) under uncultured bacterium. RNAcentral's name for it is "partial 16S ribosomal RNA". It matches the Rfam family "Bacterial small subunit ribosomal RNA", at positions 29 to 507 of the family's 1533-position model. The record is from RNAcentral.